Molecule: long non-coding RNA, 1014 nt
Filed under: Anser brachyrhynchus (Pink-footed goose)
Lineage: Eukaryota; Metazoa; Chordata; Aves; Anseriformes; Anatidae
Description: lncRNA (ENSABRG00000007571.1)
Source: RNAcentral
AUGGAUGUGCAGCCAUCAUGGUCUAUGGACUGCCUAAUUUUUCCUGUAAAAACAGAAAGCUUUCUACGGCUGGGAGCUUGUAAAAACAAGCCCGAAGCUACCCGAAUUUUUAGCUUUGCACUACAAACGAGAAACUCAAUUCUCCGCUGCAGAACAUGUAUGCACCUACACACGCUCGAGCGUUUGACAAUGAGACUCAUUCAUGCAGAAGAAGACCCUUUCCAGGUGAACGUCCCCUUGUCCCGGCGCCACACGCCUCCGGGGAGCGGCCGGGGGACGCGGGGAGAGGGGCCGCGCUGCCGGGAGCGCCGGGGAGGGCGAGCAGCGAGGGCAGGGGCAGCCGCCGGGCUCCGAACGAAAGCUGCGGCCGGCACAGCGGCUCCGCCAAGGAAACCGCCUCCCCCGGCCGGGACCCGGCCCCUGGGCCAGGUGCCGCCGCCGGGGGCUCGGCAGGCCGGGGCCGAGCGGGCAGCGGCGGAGCGGGGCGCAUCCCGCCGCGCGUCCCGCUGCGCUCCCGGGGCCGCGCUCCGCAGCGCCGGGCGCGGGACCGGGAGGCGCCGUGCCCUCGUUUUACGCGGUUGGUGCGGGAGUAAAGAGUCAGCGAUCUUAAGGGCUUUGGGAGAAGAACAAGGGAAAAAAAGAAAAAAGAAAAAAAAAGAAAAAAGAAAAAAGGGAAAGGGAAGAAGGCAGAAAUGCUUGCGACGGUGUCACGGUAACUCCCCUUUCCCGGAUGCUCCGGCAGCAGCCGCGCCGAGGAAGCGGCCGGCUCCCGGGGCUCGGGGCUGGGGCCCACCCGCGGCCGGGCCCCCGCCACGGGAGCCCGGUGAGCCCGGCCGAGCCCCGCUACUGCCGCCGCGGCGGUGCCGAAAGGGGCCGGGGCUCGGGGCUGGGGCUCGGGGCUGCGCGGAAACGGAGCCCAGCGGGCGGCAGGAGGGGCCCUGCCCCGGGACCCGCUCGGGGGAGUUCCCCGCCGGAGGCUCGCUUGCUCUCCAGGAGGGAAGGAAAAAAAAAUAG